GAUGAACGCUGGCGGCGUGCCUAAUACAUGCAAGUCGAGCGAAUGGAUUAAGAGCUUGCUCUUGUGAAGUUAGCGGCGGACGGGUGAGUAACACGUGGGUAACCUGCCCAUAAGACUGGGAUAACUCCGGGAAACCGGGGCUAAUACCAGAUAACAUUUUGAACCGCAUGGUUCGAAAUUGAAAGGCGGCUUCGGCUGUCACUUAUGGAUGGACCCGCGUCGCAUUAGCUAGUUGGUGAGGUAACGGCUCACCAAGGCAACGAUGCGUAGCCGACCUGAGAGGGUGAUCGGCCACACUGGGACUGAGACACGGCCCAGACUCCUACGGGAGGCAGCAGUAGGGAAUCUUCCGCAAUGGACGAAAGUCUGACGGAGCAACGCCGCGUGAGUGAUGAAGGCUUUCGGGUCGUAAAACUCUGUUGUUAGGGAAGAACAAGUGCUAGUUGAAUAAGCUGGCACCUUGACGGUACCUAACCAGAAAGCCACGGCUAACUACGUGCCAGCCGCCGCGGUAA
This 515-nucleotide ribosomal RNA is filed under the name uncultured bacterium. RNAcentral describes it as "partial 16S ribosomal RNA". It matches the Rfam family "Bacterial small subunit ribosomal RNA", at positions 28 to 523 of the family's 1533-position model. The record is from RNAcentral.